This 233-nucleotide RNase P RNA is filed under the name Bacillota bacterium. RNAcentral describes it as "partial RNase P RNA component class A". It matches the Rfam family "Bacterial RNase P class A", at positions 136 to 367 of the family's 367-position model. From Rfam's summary of the family: Ribonuclease P (RNase P) is a ubiquitous endoribonuclease, found in archaea, bacteria and eukarya as well as chloroplasts and mitochondria. Its best characterised activity is the generation of mature 5'-ends of tRNAs by cleaving the 5'-leader elements of precursor-tRNAs. Cellular RNase Ps are ribonucleoproteins. The record is from RNAcentral. Lineage: Bacteria; Bacillati; Bacillota.
GGUGGCGGUAUGUUUUAAAGCUUCGAAACGGUAAGGCUGAAACAGUGCGGUAAGAGCGCACUAGGGACCAGGUGACUGGCUCUCUUGGUAAACCCCACCCGCAGCAAGACCUAAUAGGGGAAGGAUGAGGUUGCUCGCUGACUUCCCGGGUUGGUCGCUGGAGGCGUCAGGCAACUGACGUCCUAGAUAGAUGAUCGUCCUCGACAGAACUCGGCUUAUCGCUGACUCCGCCU